Molecule: transfer RNA, 73 nt
Filed under: Planctomycetaceae bacterium
Lineage: Bacteria; Pseudomonadati; Planctomycetota; Planctomycetia; Planctomycetales; Planctomycetaceae
Also listed under: 3 other names
Description: tRNA-Thr
Rfam family: tRNA
About the family: Transfer RNA (tRNA) molecules are approximately 80 nucleotides in length. Their secondary structure includes four short double-helical elements and three loops (D, anti-codon, and T loops).
Source: RNAcentral
GCCGCUGUAGCUCAGUUGGCAGAGCGACGCUUUCGUAAAGCGUAGGUCGUCGGUUCAAGUCCGACCAGCGGCU